GUAAAAUUUUAAUAAAGCAAAUGGCGGAUGCCUUGGUUGCUAAAGCCGAAGAAGGACGCGGAAGACUGCGAAAAUUGUUGGGGAGUCGUCAACAGACUUUGAUCCAACGAUAUCCUAAUGGGGAAACCCCGGUCUGAGAAAUUAGACUGAUCCCGACGCAAGUUGAGGAGGGUAAGUCAGGGAACUGAAACAUCUAAGUACCUGGAAGAAAAGAAAUCGUAAGAGAUUCCGUUAGUAGCGGUGAGCGAAACCGGAAGAGCCUAAAUCCCGAUUUAUCGGGAGGUUGCAGGGUCUGAUAUAAGAAUAGGAAAAAUUAGAAAAACACUCUGGAAUGAGUGACCAAAGAAGGUGAAAGUCCUGUAUUUUAAAAUUGAGUACUGUUUGAUUAGAUACCUAAGUACCACAGGACACGUGAAAUGUUGUGGGAAUCUAGGGAGACCAAUCCCUAAGGCUAAAUACUUUAGCGGACCGAUAGUGAACUAGUACCGUGAGGGAAAGGUGAAAAACACCCUAAGUAAGGGAAUGAAAUAGAUCUGAAACCAUUUGCUAACAAACAGACAAAGCUGGUGCUUCGCACCCGCAGUUUAUAAAGUUGAAAGUUUUUCUCCCGAUAUCGACUGAUUGUCAAUUGGGAUUAGAUUUUAAGGCAAAAUUGUGUCAUUUUAUUCCAAAUUUUGACCUAAAAAUCUUAAAAGUUUAUAAAGUAAAUACAAAAAUACUUUAUGAACUUUAUAACUUGAUAGACUUUUGAACUUCGAGCGCGGAGCGCGAGUGAUGUCGUGCCUAUUGAAGAAUGAGCCUGUGAGUGUUUCUAGUCAUCAAGUUUAAGUCUGAUAAUCAGACGGAGGCGUAGCGAAAGCGAGUGCGAAAAGCGCGAUUAGAUGGCUGGAUAUGACCCGAAACCAGUUGAGCUAACCUUGAGCAGGGUGAAUUCUGGUGAAAGCCAGGAGGAGGCCCGAACCGGUUACUGCUGCAAAAGUAUCGGAUGACUUGAGGUUAGGGGUAAUAUGCCAAUCGAAACUGGAGAUAGCUGGUUCUCUCCGAAAUAUAUAUAGGUAUAGCGUCAAGUGUUGAGAUGCGGGGGUAAAGCUACUGGAUGAAUGUUUGUGGAGCAAUC
This 1117-nucleotide ribosomal RNA is filed under the name Candidatus Shapirobacteria bacterium. Its description in RNAcentral is "partial 23S ribosomal RNA". It matches the Rfam family "Bacterial large subunit ribosomal RNA", at positions 1 to 934 of the family's 2925-position model. The record is from RNAcentral. Lineage: Bacteria; Candidatus Shapironibacteriota.